This 492-nucleotide ribosomal RNA is filed under the name uncultured bacterium. RNAcentral describes it as "partial 16S ribosomal RNA". It matches the Rfam family "Bacterial small subunit ribosomal RNA", at positions 29 to 507 of the family's 1533-position model. The record is from RNAcentral.
AGUGAACGCUGGCGGUAGGCCUAACACAUGCAAGUCGAACGGCAGCACAGUAAGAGCUUGCGCUUACGGGUGGCGAGUGGCGGACGGGUGAGGAAUACAUCGGAAUCUACUUUUUCGUGGGGGAUAACGUAGGGAAACUUACGCUAAUACCGCAUACGACCUACGGGUGAAAGCAGGGGAUCUUCGGACCUUGCGCGAUUGAAUGAGCCGAUGUAGGAUUAGCUAGUUGGCGGGGUAAAGGCCCACCAAGGCGACGAUCCGUAGCUGGUCUGAGAGGAUGAUCAGCCACACUGGAACUGAGACACGGUCCAGACUCCUACGGGAGGCAGCAGUGGGGAAUAUUGGACAAUGGGAGCAAGCCUGAUCCAGCCAUACCGCGUGGGUGAAGAAGGCCUCCGGGUCGUAAAGCCCUUUUGUUGGGAAAGAAAAGCAGCAGGUUAAGACCCCGCUGUUCUGAAGGUACCCAAAGAAUAAGCACCGGCUAACUUCGUU